AAGUCGUAACAAGGUUUCCGUAGGUGAACCUGCGGAAGGAUCAUUAUCGAUUCUAUCACACCUUUCAAACAACUGUGAACUGUUUUCUCUGCCUCUUCGUAUUUUGGACCUUUUGUUUCUCUUUUGGGGAAAGAGAGGGACCGGAAUACGAAGUUGUACGACGACUUCCCCUUCGUUUCUCUUCGGAGAUUCGAACGGGAGGUUUCCACAUUCAUUCAUUUAAAACCCCUUUCUUUAAACGUUUGAUUUUGUUUUUAUUUUGAAAAUGCUUUUUGGGCGAAAGUCCAAAACGUUUUCAAUAAAAAAAAUAAAAAACACAAUACAACUCUUAGCAACGGAUCUCUCGGCUCUC
Molecule: unclassified non-coding RNA, 352 nt
Filed under: fungal sp.
Lineage: Eukaryota; Fungi
Description: partial internal transcribed spacer region
Rfam family: Eukaryotic small subunit ribosomal RNA (bases 1-46)
Source: RNAcentral